RNAcentral lists this ribosomal RNA (525 nucleotides) under uncultured bacterium. Its description in RNAcentral is "bacterial SSU rRNA". It matches the Rfam family "Bacterial small subunit ribosomal RNA", at positions 777 to 1302 of the family's 1533-position model. The record is from RNAcentral.
AAUAGAUACCCAGGUAGUCCACGCCGUAAACGAUGAGUGCUAGGUGUUGGGGGCAUCACGUCCUCAGUGCCGAAGGAAACCCAAUAAGCACUCCGCCUGGGGAGUACGGCCGCAAGGCUGAAACUCAAAGGAAUUGACGGGGGCCCGCACAAGCGGUGGAGCAUGUGGUUUAAUUCGAAGCAACGCGAAGAACCUUACCAAGGCUUGACAUCCCAUUGACCGCGCUAGAGAUAGUGCUUCCCUUCGGGGCAAUGGUGACAGGUGGUGCAUGGUUGUCGUCAGCUCGUGUCGUGAGAUGUUGGGUUCAGUCCCGCAACGAGCGCAACCCUUAUCCUUAGUUGCCAGCAAGUCAUGUUGGGCUCUCUAAGGAGACAGCCGGUGAAAGCCGGAGGAAGGUGGGGAUGACGUCAAAUCAUCAUGCCCCUUACGUCUUGGGCUACACACGUGCUACAAUGGAUGGUACAAAGGGCAGCAAAACCGCGAGGUCGAGCAAAUCCCAUAAAGCCAUUCUCAGUUCGGAUUGUA